AUACGUAGGGGGCGAGCGUUGUCCGGAAUGAUUGGGCGUAAAGAGUGAGCAGGCGGUUAAUUAAGUCUGAGGUUAAAGCGUGGGGCUCAACCCCAUAAAGCCUUGGAAACUGAUUGACUAGAGUACGGGAGAAGUGAAGGGAACUCCAUGUGUAGCGGUGAAAUGCGUAGAUAUAUGGAAGAACACCAGUGGCGAAGGCGCUUCACUAGCCCGAAACUGACGCUCAGUCACGAAAGCGUGGGUAGCAAAUAGGAUUAGAUACCCUAGUAGUCCACGCUGUAAACGAUGACAACUAAAUAUUGCCGCGAGGCAGUGUUGAAGCUAACGCAUUAAGUUGUCCGCCUGGGGAGUACGGUCGCAAGACUGAAACUUAAAGGAAUUGACGGGG
RNAcentral lists this ribosomal RNA (388 nucleotides) under uncultured bacterium. RNAcentral's name for it is "partial 16S ribosomal RNA". It matches the Rfam family "Bacterial small subunit ribosomal RNA", at positions 523 to 918 of the family's 1533-position model. The record is from RNAcentral.